UACGGAGGGUGCAAGCGUUAUCCGGAUUCACUGGGUUUAAAGGGUGCGUAGGUGGGCAGGUAAGUCAGUGGUGAAAUCUCCGGGCUUAACUCGGAAACUGCCAUUGAUACUAUCUUUCUUGAAUACCGUGGAGGUCAGCGGAAUAUGUCAUGUAGCGGUGAAAUGCGUAGAUAUCUGGAGGAACACCGGUGGCGAAGGCGGCAUCCUGGACCAACACUGACGCUGAGGAGCGAAAGCCAGGGGAGCAAACGGG
This 253-nucleotide ribosomal RNA is filed under the name uncultured bacterium. Its description in RNAcentral is "partial 16S ribosomal RNA". It matches the Rfam family "Bacterial small subunit ribosomal RNA", at positions 524 to 776 of the family's 1533-position model. The record is from RNAcentral.